AUUGAACGUUUGCGGCGGGCCUAACACAUGCAAGUCGAACGCACUAGCAAUAGUGAGUGGCGCACGGGUGCGUAACACGUGGGUAAUCAACCCUUCAGCCUGGGAUAACGACUCGAAAGGGUCGCUAAUACCGGAUACGGCGCGAGAGGCUUCGGCUUCUCACGAGAAAGCCACGCAAGGGGCACUGAAGGACGAGCCUGCGGCCCAUCAGCUAGUUGGUGAGGUAAGAGCUCACCAAGGCUAAGACGGGUAGCUGGUCUGAGAGGGUGAACGGCCACAAGGGGACUGAGACACGGCCCUUACUCCUACGGGAGGCAGCAGUGGGGAAUAUUGGACAAUGGACCAAAAGUCUGAUCCAGCAAUUCUGUGUGUUUGAUGAAGGCCUCGG
This 388-nucleotide ribosomal RNA is filed under the name uncultured bacterium. RNAcentral describes it as "bacterial SSU rRNA". It matches the Rfam family "Bacterial small subunit ribosomal RNA", at positions 30 to 420 of the family's 1533-position model. The record is from RNAcentral.